UUGGAGGGCAAGUCUGGUGCCAGCAGCCGCGGUAAUUCCAGCUCCAAUAGCGUAUAUUAAAGUUGUUGCAGUUAAAAAGCUCGUAGUUGAAUUUCGGGGUCAGUAGGUCGGUCGUGCCACUGGUAUGAACUGGUUUUACUGAUUCCUCCCUCUUGAAGAACUGUAAUGCCAUUAAUUUGGUGUUGCAGGGAAUCAGGACUGUUACUUUGAAAAAAUUAGAGUGUUUAAAGCAGGCUUUAGCUUGAAUACAUUAGCAUGGAAUAAUGAAAUAAGACGUUUGAUCCUAUUUUGUUGGUUUCUAGGAUUGACGUAAUGAUUAAUAGGGAUAGUUGGGGGCAUUAGUAUUCAAUUGUCAGAGGUGAAAUUCUUGGAUUUAUUGAAGACUAACUUCUGCGAAAGCAUUUGCCAAGGAUGUUUUCAUUAAUCAAGGACGAAAGUUAGGGGAUCGAAGACGAUCAGAUACCGUCGUAGUCUUAACCAUAAACUAUGCCGACUAGGGAUCGGACGAUGUUAAUUUUUUGAUGACUCGUUCGGCGCCUUACGGGAAAC
This 549-nucleotide ribosomal RNA is filed under the name uncultured Glomeromycotina. Its description in RNAcentral is "SSU rRNA". It matches the Rfam family "Eukaryotic small subunit ribosomal RNA", at positions 548 to 1098 of the family's 1831-position model. Lineage: Eukaryota; Fungi; Glomeromycota. The record is from RNAcentral.